RNAcentral lists this ribosomal RNA (468 nucleotides) under uncultured bacterium. RNAcentral's name for it is "partial 16S ribosomal RNA". It matches the Rfam family "Bacterial small subunit ribosomal RNA", at positions 28 to 507 of the family's 1533-position model. The record is from RNAcentral.
GACGAACGCUGGCGGCGUGCUUAACACAUGCCAGUCGAACGGAAAGGCCCUGCUUUUGUGGGGUGCUCGAUUGGCGAACGGGUGAGUAACACGUGAGUAACCUGCCCUUGACUUUGGGAUAACUUCAGGAAACUGGGGCUAAUACCGGAUAGGAUCUCCUGCUGCAUGUGGGUGGUUGGAAAGUUUCGGCGGUUGGGGAUGGACUCGCGGCUUAUCAGCUUGUUGGUGGGGUAGUGGCUUACCAAGGCUUUGACGGGUAGCCGGCCUGAGAGGGUGACCGGCGACAUUGGGACUGAGAUACGGACCAGACUCCUACGGGAGGCAGCAGUGGGGAAUAUUGCAGAAUGGGCGGAAGCGUGAUGCAGCAACGCCGCGUGCGGGAUGACGGCCUUCGGGUUGUAAACAGAUUUCGCAUGUGACGAAGCGUGAGUGACGGUAAUGGGUAAAGAAGCACCGGCUAACUACGUG